RNAcentral lists this long non-coding RNA (579 nucleotides) under Aquilegia coerulea. Its description in RNAcentral is "long non-coding RNA (ACOE_LNC001065)". The record is from RNAcentral. Lineage: Eukaryota; Viridiplantae; Streptophyta; Magnoliopsida; Ranunculales; Ranunculaceae.
UUACAAAUAUAUGCAUUCAGGUCUGAAUAUUUCUCUUGUUUCACCUUUUUGGUGGGAUAGACAUAGUACUUCAAUAAACUAUUUCAUUUCCUCUUUGCAGGUCACUUUGUCGUUAUUUGUGGUUAUGAUGCAGAUAAAGGUGAAUUUGGCAUAAGGGAUCCUGCCAGUUCUAGGUAUAAUACUUUUGGUUUCAUUUUGCAUGUUCAGUCCUUUCAGUGUAAAAUGUGAAAUAUUUCUUUUGCGAGUUAAUAAACUAUGUCUAGUUGUUAUAUCUGUAGUGCUUCAAAACGCAGUGCAGUUUUUGAAUUUAAUGGAUGAGAGAGGAAUCUUGUGUCAUGCAGAAACCAUGUCUAUCAUAAUUAAUAUGCUAGCAGCAGAUGACCCAGAUUGUGAGAGUAGAGAUAGACUGCGUGCCUACUUUGUGAAGUGAUGAACUAAGGUAUUCCGUUUAUAUAUUUGAUCAGUAGACAUUAUUUUGUUCAAAAUAAGUAUGUGAUAUUACAUGCUUUGCUUUGUUUAAUGAAAUAAAUAAAGGAUGUAACAGCUUUCUCUAUUCACGUUAGAACAAAGGAUGUAAAC